This 465-nucleotide ribosomal RNA is filed under the name uncultured bacterium. RNAcentral describes it as "partial 16S ribosomal RNA". It matches the Rfam family "Bacterial small subunit ribosomal RNA", at positions 338 to 795 of the family's 1533-position model. The record is from RNAcentral.
CCUACGGGUGGCAGCAGUAGGGAAUCUUCCACAAUGGACGAAAGUCUGAUGGAGCAACGCCGCGUGAGUGAAGAAGGGUUUCGGCUCGUAAAGCUCUGUUGGUAGGGAAGAAAGACAGAGGUAGUAACUCGCCUUUAUUUGACGGUCAUUACUUAGAAAGUCACGGCUAACUACCUGCCAACAGCCUCGGUAAUACGGAGGUGGCAAGCGUUGUCCGGAUUUAUUGGGCGUAAAGCGAGGGCAGGCGGUUCAAUAAGUCUGAUGUGAAAGCCGUCGGCUCAACCGGAGAAUUGCAUCAGAAACUGGUGGACUUGAGUGCAGAAGAGGUGAGUGGAACGCCAUGUGUAGCGGUGGAAUGCGUAGAUAUAAGGAAGAACACCAGUGGCGAAGGCGGCUCACUGGUCUGCAACUGACGCUGAGGCUCGAAAGCAUGGGUAGCGAACAGGAUUAGAUACCCCUGUAGUC